RNAcentral lists this ribosomal RNA (625 nucleotides) under Escherichia coli. Its description in RNAcentral is "bacterial LSU rRNA". It matches the Rfam family "Bacterial large subunit ribosomal RNA", at positions 614 to 1239 of the family's 2925-position model. Lineage: Bacteria; Pseudomonadati; Pseudomonadota; Gammaproteobacteria; Enterobacterales; Enterobacteriaceae. The record is from RNAcentral.
AAUGGGUCAGCGACUUAUAUUCUGUAGCAAGGUUAACCGAAUAGGGGAGCCGAAGGGAAACCGAGUCUUAACUGGGCGUUAAGUUGCAGGGUAUAGACCCGAAACCCGGUGAUCUAGCCAUGGGCAGGUUGAAGGUUGGGUAACACUAACUGGAGGACCGAACCGACUAAUGUUGAAAAAUUAGCGGAUGACUUGUGGCUGGGGGUGAAAGGCCAAUCAAACCGGGAGAUAGCUGGUUCUCCCCGAAAGCUAUUUAGGUAGCGCCUCGUGAAUUCAUCUCCGGGGGUAGAGCACUGUUUCGGCAAGGGGGUCAUCCCGACUUACCAACCCGAUGCAAACUGCGAAUACCGGAGAAUGUUAUCACGGGAGACACACGGCGGGUGCUAACGUCCGUCGUGAAGAGGGAAACAACCCAGACCGCCAGCUAAGGUCCCAAAGUCAUGGUUAAGUGGGAAACGAUGUGGGAAGGCCCAGACAGCCAGGAUGUUGGCUUAGAAGCAGCCAUCAUUUAAAGAAAGCGUAAUAGCUCACUGGUCGAGUCGGCCUGCGCGGAAGAUGUAACGGGGCUAAACCAUGCACCGAAGCUGCGGCAGCGACGCUUAUGCGUUGUUGGGUAGGGGAGCGU